CUUGAGUGAGUUCCCGGAAGAUAUUAGGUGGGAGUUUCGCACCAGUAAUAGGUACUCUGGAGUGAGUUGGGAUCCUACUGGAGGUACGUCUCCUACGCCAUAUUCAACAGGAGGGUGAUUGAACUUCCAUAGCUUUAGAAGAAGAGCAAAAGCAUUUGAAAACACAGCGUGGGCUGAUAUUUCUUCUCCUGUGGUCAGGGUCCAUGAGAUAUUCGGCACGCAUGAACCGAAAACCUCACAUAUUGUCAUUAAUGAACCAGCAAGCUCUGGAACCUGUUGAAGAUAAUGUCUCCAUUAGAUGAAGGUGAAUCGCUUUUUCGCACUCCCUCAUAAACAUUUCAUGGAUCGUAGAACUAUAUUUGAAGCAUUUCUUGAUCUUACAUGUUCUUUUAUUUCGAUUGUAAAUAAAUCAGGGCUCAUCGCAAAAUAGAACCUACAUAUAAUGUUGAUAAAUAUAGCGUAAAAGUGAACAUACCAAACCAUGGAGGGAGAAAAUCUGAACACAGUCAACUGGUGCUAUUCCCACAAGGAGAACAUUGAGCAUGGGCGCAUAGCUUAUCAAGUGACUCUCAUUCUCGGAAUAGUCGGCCGGAACGGGUGGAGACAACAAUCUAGUUAUGAAAUAAACAGUGUGUUCCUGCAUAUAUAUCAAAAGCUAUACACCGUUAAAAACCUUGUCGACGUAGUUUGGAGAAAACAAAGUACCAGCACUUAAUGUCUCACUACCUGAAUAUUCCAUCCACGAAUCAAUGAGGCCCCACAAAGAAUAGUAGCCCCGGCUAUUCUUUCAUCAUUUGAUCCUUUGCAUGCAAUCUCAAAGACCUUUUCGAUCUCUGCAAAGCUUCCAUUAGAUGCAUGAGCUCGAAUUCAGUUGCUUUACUCUCGAAAAAAAAUCAUUAAGCAGUGCUUACAGAAAUAAAAAUGAAAAAUCAUUUAACUGCAAGACUGACUUCAAUUCUAAACAAUCUAUUUCUUUAAACGUUUUAAAUUUCUGUGCUUACCUUGACGCAGGAGUAGAGACUAAAGCAUUGAUCAUUACUGGAGUUAGAGAUGCUCCUUUCAGAAAUGAUGACCAGCCAGGAACUUCAGUAGGAACAUUGUGGGGUAGUUGGUUAAUAUGCCCAUUUACGUAACCUGGCCAGAGAUAAGCAGAAGAAUCCAGAAGAUUCCUGGCUAUACAUGACUCGACUAUUAAAUGAUGCAAGGUACCAGCUGCAAAAUAAUAAAAAUCGGAUUUCAGAUUCCAUUUUUGCUGAACUAUUUUAUCCCGCAAAUAUCUUCACCAAACUAUCAACAUCGUAUUACUUACAGCAGUCAAUUGGCAUAUCCAUGGUGCUGAUGGAAUCAAAAUACGCAGUACCAACAGUGAUGCCAGAUAUAAACAUCAUUGCUUUACUUGCAGCUUGAUUAGCAGCAGAAAUGACUGACUGCGGUGGAGUUAGCAAGCUUUGAUAUUCAUGUAGAUUCUGAAGACUGAAUAUCAAAUCCAUACGCCUUUUCCC
RNAcentral lists this long non-coding RNA (1502 nucleotides) under Erythranthe guttata (spotted monkey flower). Its description in RNAcentral is "long non-coding RNA (EGUT_LNC000269)". The record is from RNAcentral. Lineage: Eukaryota; Viridiplantae; Streptophyta; Magnoliopsida; Lamiales; Phrymaceae.